Molecule: ribosomal RNA, 305 nt
Filed under: uncultured bacterium
Lineage: Bacteria
Description: bacterial SSU rRNA
Rfam family: Bacterial small subunit ribosomal RNA
Source: RNAcentral
UGUACCCUACGGGGCGCAGCAGUGAGGAAUAUUGGUCAAUGGGCGAGGGCCUGAACCAGCCACGUCGCGUGAGGGAUGACUGCGCUAUGGGUUGUAAACCUCUUUUGUAUGGGGGGAAUAAGCUUUACGAGUAGAGUGAUGACAGUACCAUACGAAUAAGCAUCGGCUAACUCCGUGCCAGCAGCCGCGGUAAUACGGAGGAUGCAAGCGUUAUCCGGAUUUAUUGGGUUUAAAGGGUGCGUAGGCGGCAUUAUAAGUUAGUGGUAAAAUAUUGGGGCUUCACCUCACUACGCCAUUAAUACUGU